This is a long non-coding RNA of Nematolebias whitei (Rio pearlfish), 685 nucleotides long. RefSeq lists it as uncharacterized. The record is from RefSeq and is a predicted model, not a curated record. Lineage: Eukaryota; Metazoa; Chordata; Actinopteri; Cyprinodontiformes; Rivulidae. The transcript has 4 exons.
AUCUCAUCCGAAGCCUAACCUGACUGAUGGGUUUCCAAUAAGAGACGAUGAAGAUCUCGUUUUGAUCGGGCUGUCUGUCUGCUGGGGAUCAAGAGGUGCAUGCUACAUCUGUCUGCAGCAGGAGCAGAGCAAAGGUCUGAGCUCCAGCCUGGCUCCUCCUCCACUGGAUGAUGAGCUGCCAGUAAGUCAAAGGCUGGAGCAGGUGAAGGUCUGUCUCAGCCACCAAUCAGCUGGUGACAAAGGAAGAGUGGUUGUCACAUAUGACAUCAUCAAGGUGUACAAGACGUUCUGAGCUGUGGUAUCAGCUUGGAGGGAACCUGUGAAGACCUGAAGGUUGCAUGCUGGCUGCUGGACCCUAGCAGUGAGGAGAGGACACUUCCAAACAUGGUGACUGUCUAUUGUCCUGAAGAGUUACCCCUGCUGGACGGUCUGGGGAGUACCCUUUCACACUGUCCUCGCAUCAGGGCAGCGACCAAGAGUGUGUUCAUACACACUGUGAUGAACCAACUCACUGGCCUGUUGGAGAAAGAUGGCACACUAGAUUUAUUGAGGAAUAUAGAGAUGCCCUCCCAGGUUUGUCUGGCCCUGUUGGAGCUGAAAUGAGUUGGUUUCAGUGUGGACGAGUGCGAGAGACAAAAACGUGAUGCAAGCCAAACUUUCAGCGUUGGAGUCAGAAACUUACAGC